Scophthalmus maximus (turbot) is the source of this 1815-nucleotide long non-coding RNA. RefSeq lists it as uncharacterized. The record is from RefSeq and is a predicted model, not a curated record. NCBI's taxonomy places the organism in Eukaryota, Metazoa, Chordata, Actinopteri, Pleuronectiformes, Scophthalmidae. The transcript is spliced from 2 exons.
GAAGUCCGCUAGCAACAACAGAAGCCUUCUACGUCUCGGAAAACGGGAUAAAAAUGAUCAUCGAAGUCAUUCAGUGUUGGAUUUAUCAUCACGGACGUGUUGUACAGAGUCUACGAAAAGUCACGGAAGGUCCAGGCCGCGCAACAACUCUUCUGAAAGGGCCACGAUCGCACGGAAGCCCUGAUGCAAGUGUUAGCUUCCCGUCAAAACAAACCCAGGGAGCGGAUUCCGUUAGUUGCUGAAUCCUCCAGCAGAGGGGAGUUGGUGGAGACCAAAACAAGGCUGAAAACGGUAAAUAAUGCAGUUGCAGGCUCUAAAAUAAGAUGAUGUCGUUGUAAAUGUAAAUAGGCUGCUGUUUGCCGACACAUUUGCCACCUCCGUUUGGCCAGGUUUGAGGACAACAUGACUUAAAUGAAGUCGAUUUGAAAAGUUGAAACACAGUGGAAACAUUUUCUGCUGAAGAGUGCUCCUUAUUAACAAGCUAAGCUCCGCAGUCCUAUUGCAGUGCUGGCGCUUGGGAACCCCUGAUAAAGACUGUGGUUUAUUUAUGAAAGUAUAAUGCCUUUGUGCAUUCAGCAGCUGUGGAAAUAAGGCCGUCCUAGAAAUACUUUAUCAGUGCAGUACAGUUUCUCUCAUGCAAAAAAAAAUAAUAAUAAUUUGGUCGGUGUGAACAAAAAAAAAGAUCCUGAAGCGCUGAUGUACAGAUUGCAGUAGAUUGUGUAAUCCUCUUCAAUGUGAUGUUUGAGAAACAUAUUCUGGCAAAGUGUGAAAACUGUAAAACUAAUUAUUUCACUUGAUGAGGCUUGCAUUAUGAAUGCGCCGCAAAACUUCUCUUUGCCCACCUCCUCUGAUUUGACUCAAAUGGCUUCAUGUUCCCUGAUGUUUUCCUUUAAUGUUCCUCUCUGAGCUGUAAUUUCAGGUGGGUUUAUCAUCAGAGCCGUGGCAGGCUGCCGUUGGUGCCCCUAUUUAAAAAGCUAUUUUCCGUGCACACUGUCACCACGGCUGUAGUUGUGACUGGUACACAAUGGAAGAGACCCUGCAAUUCCUCUGGGAGUCAGCAGGUCAGGGAGGACUACUUCUUUGUCCGUGCCAUCUCACCUCUCCUUUUCAAAAGCCUCUAAUGGACCCACAGGAGAUGCGAGGCUCGUUUCCACGGCGGAGGACCAUAAUUACAGCCCGCCACAAAAUCUAUGAUGCUCUGCCGCUUGAUUGUUUCUGUGUCAAUGGCAGCACACAACUGCACCACAGGAUACUUGUUGACUCGGCCCGCCUUUUUACGAGAAUCAAUGCUCACACGUUUAACCCCUGGGAGAGGAGUAAUCAUCGGGAUCCGAGAUGAAGAGAGAUGAAUUUCUGUAACUGCUCAUCCAUCGAGUGCUCGUUGGUCCAAAGCUCUUUGAAACGACUGGUCUGCUCCGCCAUAUUAGUUUGGUCAUCUAUCCCUAGACAGCUGUCUGCUGCAAUAGAGUAAUCCUCUGAGAAGCAAUGCAGCAGGAGAAGAAGUAGCUGAUAUUUUUCCACACCUACGUCAUGUUCUCUCGUGAUGCCUCAGGAAUAUUCUCAUGUUCUCUUCACAUUAGAGAAACAAUAUCUUUGGAAAAUGCAAAGCAAUGACACAAGACACUAAAAUCAAAAUAACAUCGACACAGUUGCUGAGAAUGACACCAUGUGAGAAAAUGUGCACGAGCAUUGUGAGAGCUUCUGUAUGAGAUGAUCUGAUUCUGGAUGAUACUUGGCGGCAACAUGUCUGCACUAUAAUUGACAUUGCUUUCCCUUGUUAGGCUGAAUAAUAAAUGCCAGACUAUGCAUAAUUCA